GACGAACGCUGGCGGCGUGCUUAACACAUGCAAGUCGAACGGAAAGGCCCUGCUUUUGUGGGGUGCUCGAGUGGCGAACGGGUGAGUAACACGUGAGUAACCUGCCCUUGACUUUGGGAUAACUUCAGGAAACUGGGGCUAAUACCGGCUAGGAGCUCCUGCUGCAUGGUGGGGGUUGGAAAGUCUCGGCGGUUGGGGAUGGACUCGCGGCUUAUCAGCUUGUUGGUGGGGUAGUGGCUUACCAAGGCUUUGACGGGUAGCCGGCCUGAGAGGGUGACCGGCCACAUUGGGACUGAGAUACGGACCAGACUCCUACGGGAGGCAGCAGUGGGGAAUAUUGCACAAUGGGCGGAAGCCUGAUGCGGCAACGCCGCGUGCGGGAUGACGGCCUUCGGGUUGUAAACCGCUUUCGCCUGUGACGAAGCGUGAGUGACGGUAAUGGGUAAAGAAGCACCGGCUAACUACGUG
RNAcentral lists this ribosomal RNA (468 nucleotides) under uncultured bacterium. RNAcentral's name for it is "partial 16S ribosomal RNA". It matches the Rfam family "Bacterial small subunit ribosomal RNA", at positions 28 to 507 of the family's 1533-position model. The record is from RNAcentral.